Molecule: ribosomal RNA, 255 nt
Filed under: uncultured bacterium
Lineage: Bacteria
Description: partial 16S ribosomal RNA
Rfam family: Bacterial small subunit ribosomal RNA
Source: RNAcentral
UACGUAGGGAGCAAGCGUUGUCCGGAAUCAUUGGGCGUAAAGCGCGCGUAGGCGGCCCGAUAAGUCCGCUGUAAAAGUCAACGGCUCAACUGUUGAAAGCCGGUGGAUACUGUCGGGCUAGAGUACGGAAGAGGCAAGUGGAAUUCUUGGUGUAGCGGUGGAAUGCGCAGAUAUCAGGAGGAACACCCAUAGCGAAGGCAGCUUGCUGGGGACGUUUACUGACGCUAAGGCGCGAAAGCGUGGGGAGCGAACAGG